This 192-nucleotide ribosomal RNA is filed under the name Calonectria australiensis. RNAcentral describes it as "partial 18S ribosomal RNA". It matches the Rfam family "Eukaryotic small subunit ribosomal RNA", at positions 1642 to 1831 of the family's 1831-position model. Lineage: Eukaryota; Fungi; Ascomycota; Sordariomycetes; Hypocreales; Nectriaceae. The record is from RNAcentral.
CAUUUACGUCCCCUGCCCUUUGUACACACCGCCCGUCGCUACUACCGAUUGAUGGCUCAGUGAGGCGUCCGGACUGGCCCAGAGAGGCGGGCAACUGCCACUCAGGGCCGGAAAGCUCUCCAAACUCGGUCAUUUAGAGGAAGUAAAAGUCGUAACAAGGUCUCCGUUGGUGAACCAGCGGAGGGAUCAUUA